Dermochelys coriacea (leatherback sea turtle) is the source of this 8319-nucleotide RNA transcript. It is a transcript of the gene named ankyrin repeat domain 50, with no coding region annotated. Lineage: Eukaryota; Metazoa; Chordata; Testudines; Dermochelyidae. The transcript is spliced from 7 exons. The record is from RefSeq and is a predicted model, not a curated record.
ACGAGCCGAGCGGACCAGACGGGCUGAGACCGUCACGGGCGUCAGGGCUCGGCAGCGAGAACAAGGGAGGGGACGGGGCAGGGACGCGCCGUGCGGGAGCAGCGGCCGGCGGGGAGCGGAGGUGGCCGGGGAAGUGCUGGUGUAAAAAUGUAGCUCGACCAGCAGGACCUGGCGAAGUGACUCUUUAGCCCUGCCUACGUAUCAGCUGAAACGUAAAGCCCCGCAUUGGGGACCUAAAGCAAAGAACCAAAAACGAAAGAAUACUGAACCCAGCCAGGGGGAAUAGUACCGAUAACAGAAAUGUGCUGCACAAGAAUAAACCAUAGGUUGUUAGCGGUGGAUGAAUUAAAAUGGGACUCCAAGAGGCUGCGGUGUGCCCUAAUGCAUACAAAUCAUGAACAAAGAAGUGGUGUAAAGAGAGCUGUGGACAGCACUGGUCCAGAGAAGAAUUUUGUUUUUACAUCUUGCAAUUGAGAUCUCUGAGAAAUAGUUGAGGAAGAAUUCAAGAUCUGGAAGGAAGCACUUGUCCUACAUUAAGGAGGUGUUAACAUUUUCAGCUCUGCUACAUAAGAGACCAUAAUUUGAAGCACUUCCCUGGUACUUGCCCAGAUGUAUGAAGCCUGCAAGGUUUGGUAUUUAUACUGACCAGUUCACAAGAAGUGGUACAGAUCUACGUGUUUGCAAUAUAAAUUUUACUUUGUGAAGAAAAAAAUCUUCUGUAUAGACUCCUCAGAAGCUAUAUUUUACCGUGGACAGCUUUUUCUCAAUGUGAAUCCAUAAAGUUUAAUGUUUGGAAUUGAGAGGCAUCUAAUACAUACUGGAAAAAAAAGUCUUUCAGUUUCACCAGUUUCAUGGUCUCCUCUGUACUUUGGGAACAUACACAACUGUAUAAACUACAGGUGUAGUCAUGGAAUUGUUACCUUUUGAGCCAUAUGAGAAGUAUUAUUGAGCCUUUGGUACCAGGCAUCGCUUGGCCACGUAAGCAGUUGAACACGCUACACUCUAAUCAUGAUAAAGCAUCUGAAUGGAAUGCCUCUGAUUGUCUUAUAAAGAGGCUAUUCUUUUACAAGAAGGGUUAACUCAUUGUCACCCUGUGGCUGGUUCCAUGCAGAAGAUGAAUCUGUGCAAGAUGGAUCCUUAUAUCCAGACUUUAAGAUGUUGAAGGUGUAUUGCUGCUUAUGACCAAUCCCAGGGACAAAGGUCUACAAAAUGGCUCAAACAAGUUUGCUACAAGGGAAGCAGUUUUACUGUAGGGAGUGGGUUUUCCACAAGCUUCAGCACUGCCUUCAGGAGAAAGCUAACUGCAGCAGCACUGCUGCCAACAAACAAUCUCUUGUAGCAAAUUCUGGGAAUAAUGCUGGUGUUGUCUCUGGGAAAGGAGCUGCCUGGGGGGUGUUGUUGGUAGGAGGGCCUGGUAGUGGGAAGACAGCCCUCAGUACUGAAUUAUUGUGGCCAAGCUCACCUGCAAGCCUACAAAGAGGCUUGCAUUGCCAUGCUCUAGCUUUCCACUUCUGCAGGGCCCAAGAUUCUGACACACUGUGUGUGGGAGGGUUUAUUAGAAGUUUAGUUACCCAAAUCUGCCGCAGUGGACUCAUCCAGGGAUAUGAAGACAAACUAAGAGAUCCUGCAGUUCAAAGUCUCUUGCAACCUGGGGAAUGUGAGAGGAAUCCUGCUGAAGCAUUUAAAAGGUGCAUUCUGCUUCCACUUUUGGGGAUGAAGCCCCCCCAGCAGAGCCUCUUUCUGCUUGUAGAUUCGAUUGAUGAGGGUUGUAAUGUUGCAGAAGGUGAACAGACUUCUACAGGCAUAUCUGGAACUAUUGCAGAGCUUUUAGCUGAUCACUACGAGUUCUUCCCUCCAUGGUUGCUCCUCCUCUGCUCUGCUCGCAAGCAGAGUAAAACUGUUACAAAAAUGUUUACAGGUUUUCGAAAAAUAAGUCUAGAUGAUCUCCGAAAGGCAUAUAUUGUGAAAGAUGUGCAGCAGUAUAUUCUCCAUCGUUUAGAUCAAGAAGAAGCACUGAGACAACAUCUCACAAAAGAAACUGCAGAAAUGCUAAACCAGCUUCACAUCAAAAGCAGUGGUUGCUUUUUAUAUCUAGAACGUGUCCUAGAUGGAGUUGUGGAAAAUUUUAUCAUGUUAAGAGAGAUCCGUGACAUUCCUGGAACACUAAAUGGCCUAUAUCUCUGGCUUUGUCAGAGGCUUUUUGUAAGAAAACAAUUUGCAAAGGUCCAGCCCAUUCUGAAUGUAAUUCUUGCAGCUUGUAGGCCAUUGACUACAAUAGAAUUGUAUCAUGCAGUGUGGACCAAAAACAUGACAUUGUCUAUGGAAGACUUUCAACGCAAACUAGAUGUUUUGUCAAAAGUUCUUGUUGAUGGGCUAGGAAAUACUAAAAUUUUGUUUCAUUACAGUUUUGCAGAAUGGCUGCUGGAUGUAAAGCACUGUACACAGAAAUAUUUAUGUAAUGCAGCAGAGGGACACAGAAUGUUAGCAAUGAGUUACACCUGUCGAGCAAAGGAUUUGACACCAUUAGAGGCCCAAGAAUUUGCAUUGCAUCUAAUUAAUUCAAAUUUGCAGUUAGAGACUUCUGAGUUGGCUUUGUGGAUGAUAUGGAAUGGCACACCAGUCAAAGACUCUUUGUCCACAUUAAUCCCGAAAGAGCAGGAAGUACUACAGCUGCUAAUAAAAGCUGGUGCUCAUGUCAACAGUGAAGAUGACCGUACAUCUUGCAUUGUACGACAAGCUCUGGAAAGAGAAGAUUCCAUUCGGACCCUGUUAGAUAAUGGGGCAUCAGUAAAUCAGUGUGAUUCAAAUGGGAGAACACUGUUAGCUAAUGCUGCAUAUAGUGGUAAUCUUGAUGUUGUUAACUUACUUGUUUCUAGAGGAUCAGAUUUAGAAAUAGAAGAUACUCAUGGGCAGACAGCACUUACUUUAGCUGCUCGACAAGGACAUACCAAGGUUGUCAAUUGUUUGAUUGGAUGUGGGGCUAAUGUAAAUCACACUGAUCAUGAUGGCUGGACAGCACUACGAUCUGCAGCUUGGGGUGGACACACAGAAGUGGUUUCUGCACUCCUUUACGCUGGAGUCAAAGUGGAUUGUGCAGAUGCUGACAGUCGAACAGCCUUGAGAGCAGCGGCAUGGGGAGGACAUGAAGAUAUAGUGCUGAAUCUGCUACAACAUGGAGCUGAAGUCAACAAAGCUGAUAAUGAAGGUAGAACGGCUUUGAUUGCAGCAGCAUACAUGGGACAUAAAGAGAUUGUGGAGCACCUCCUUGACCAUGGUGCAGAGGUAAAUCAUGAGGAUGUGGAUGGAAGGACUGCUCUGUCUGUUGCUGCACUUUGUGUACCUGCUAGUAAGGGGCAUGCUUCAGUGGUUAGCCUUUUAAUUGACCGUGGUGCUGAAGUAGAUCAUUGUGACAAAGAUGGUAUGACUCCACUGCUGGUAGCUGCCUACGAAGGACAUGUAGAUGUUGUUGACUUACUUCUAGAAGGAGGAGCUGAUGUGGAUCACACUGACAAUAAUGGUCGUACACCCCUUCUGGCAGCAGCCUCUAUGGGCCAUGCUUCAGUUGUAAAUACUCUUUUAUUUUGGGGUGCUGCUGUGGAUAGUAUUGAUAGUGAAGGGCGAACAGUUCUUAGUAUAGCCUCUGCCCAAGGUAAUGUUGAAGUAGUACGGACUCUGCUGGACAGAGGACUAGAUGAAAAUCAUAGAGAUGAUGCAGGAUGGACACCUUUGCACAUGGCAGCUUUUGAAGGUCACAGGUUGAUAUGUGAAGCACUUAUAGAACAAGGUGCUAGAACAAAUGAAAUUGAUAAUGAUGGACGUAUUCCUUUCAUACUGGCUGCACAAGAAGGUCACUAUGAUUGUGUACAGAUAUUACUGGAAAAUAAAUCUAAUAUUGAUCAGAGAGGCUACGAUGGGAGAAAUUCUCUCCGAGUUGCUGCUUUAGAAGGUCAUAGAGAUAUAGUUGAACUACUUUUCAACCAUGGAGCAGAUGUAAACUACAAAGAUGCUGAUGGCCGGCCAACACUUUACAUCUUGGCAUUAGAAAACCAGCUUACAAUGGCUGAGUAUUUUUUAGAAAAUGGUGCAAAUGUAGAAGCAAGCGAUGCAGAAGGAAGGACAGCACUCCAUGUUUCCUGCUGGCAGGGCCAUUUGGAGAUGGUGCAGAUACUGAUAACAUACCAUGCUGAUGUGAAUGCUGCAGACAAUGAGAAGCGGUCUGCUUUGCAAUCUGCUGCUUGGCAAGGCCAUGUGAAAGUAGUUCGGCUUUUGAUUGAGCAUGGAGCCUUAGUUGACCACACCUGUAAUCAAGGUGCUACUGCACUCUCCAUUGCAGCACAAGAAGGACACAUUGAUGUUGUGCAGAUAUUACUGGAGCAGGGUGCUGAUCCGAAUCAUGCAGAUCAAUUUGGACGUACUGCUAUGCGUGUUGCAGCAAAAAAUGGACAUUCUCAGAUUAUUAAAUUACUGGAAAAAUAUGGUGCAUCUAGUCUAAAUGGCUGCACUCCAUCACCAGUCCACACAAUGGAGCAAAAACCCUUGCAAUCAGUCUCUUCAAAAAUGCAGUCAUUAACAAUAAAAUCAAAUAGUUCAGGGAGUACUGGUGGAGGAGAUAUGCAGCCUACUAUGCGUGGUUUGUCUAAUGGGCCUGCUCAUGCUUUCAGUUCUCCCUCAGAAUCUCCAGAUUCUACAGUGGACCGCCAGAAGUCGUCUUUAUCAAAUAAUUCCCUGAAAAGUUCCAAAAACUCUUCUCUGCGUACUACAUCAUCUACAGCAACUGCUCAGACAGUGCCUAUUGAUAGUUUCCAUAGUAUGUCAUUUACAGAACAAAUACAGCAGCAUUCACUGCCUCGUAGCAGAAGCAGGCAGUCAAUUGUUUCUCCUUCUUCCACAACUCAUUCCUUAAGUCAGAAUCAUAAUUCACCAAGUAGUGAAUUUGAAUGGAGCCAAGUAAAACCCAGUUUGAAAUCAACUAAAGCAAACAAAGGGGGGAAAACAGAAAACUCCAGCAAAUCUGGAUCUGCUGGGAAAAAGAUCAAGCAGAGCAGCUCUUCCCAACCAAAAGUUUUAGAAUAUGAAAUGACUCAGUUUGAUAAACGAAUACCUGUUGCCAAAUCUGGGACCAGUGUGUCACUUAAAUCAAUGCCAGCAGAGUCACAAUGCAAAAUUUUGGUCCCUCCAUCUCAGCAAGAAGUUUGUCGACCUCAGCAACAGUUCCUAAUUCACCAACAGAGUGGGGAACAGAAAAAGCGAAAUGGAAUAAUGACAAACCCAAAUUAUCACCUUCAAAGCAAUCAGGUUUUUCUUGGUAGGGUUUCCGUCCCACGAACAGGACAGGAGAGAGGACUUCAGGAAGUUUUGGAAGGCUAUCCUGCAGAUACAGAACUAAGCCUUAAGCAAGCCUUAAAACUUCAGCUUGAGGGAACUGACCCAAGCUUCAACUACAAGAAAGAAACACCACUGUAAUAGAAAUUAUCCAGGAAUUAGUUAGUUAAUUCACUCUACUCCAAUCCUUAUACCUGCUACAUCCUGAUGAAGUUUGAGGUUUUUUUAAGGCCAAUUCCAUGAUGCUAUGAACAGAAGAGUUUCUGCCUGGAAUGGUUUAAUCAGCUGCCUGGGAUGAAAGCAUAUAAUGCUUGGUAGUCCACCUAGAAAACUAAGAAUGUGAUUACCGCAGUACAAUUACCUUAAUUACUGUAAUGUGCCUAAAUUUUAAGGCUGCCUUCUCAGUGUAACUCUCUGUGCUUCAGAAGUUUAUUUUGUGUACUUUGUACGUAAUACACAGAAUAAGCACUUUUUUCUUAAUUGCAGAAUAAUAUAUGCUGUGUUUCCCUGACAACACCUGAGAAAUUGUAAGAUCAAGGAUUUCUGAUAUCCUAUUCCAGAAGGCUUGAUAAAUGUGCAUGUGCCACGAUGAACUAUGUAUGGGAGGACGGUGCUUUUUGUAUUUAUUUUAUUUUCCUGUGGCAAAAGAAACUAAACAUACAGUUUGUACCAUAUUUGCAUUGCUAUAAUGUAUGGUCAUUUUCCUGUGUAUUUCAAAAGUUCUCUCAAGAAAAACAAAUCUGGUAACAAUAUUUGAUGAACUUGCAGUACUUGUAUGUUCUGUCUAUAAAACUACUCUGUUCAAUGAUAGAGAUGCAAGAUUAUAACCAUACACCACACCUCUGGGAUUUUUUUGUAAUAAAAUCUAAUUUCUACAAUUACAGCUUGAUAUCUGGAUGUACAGACUGGCGACCACUGAAAACGAUAGAGCUAUGCAUGUGUAUCCAAGGGCAAAACUUAGUCCAUACUAAAUAGUCUAGUAUGUUUAAAAAAAAACUGGAUUAAUUUCAAUAUUAGGUGCUUAAGUGUAAUGUGCUAAAAUUUAAGGCCUGAUUCUGCUUUCACUUACACCUCCGUAAGAACUCAGGAAUAACUCCAUUAAAGUAAGUGAAUUUACACCUGUAUAAUAUUUGUGCAAGCAAGCAAAAACAUCCAUUGUAUGUAACAGUGUACACUAUGAAAUUUUCUCCAUUUACAAGGGAUGAACAUGCACAACUCUAACUCUAUCGCUCAUGAGUCAUAAAAAUGAUUAACACCUGAAAAUAUAAGUAUAUUGCACCUUUUACUAUUACAUAGUCUGACUCUAGAUAAUAAAAGUUAACGUUUUCUUUAAGUAUUUUCUUUAAAGACUUGAAUUCAACUUUUCUCAUAUUGUGAUUCUGUGCAUUCCCUGAAUAGUGUGAUCCAAAGUCAUGAUGAUAAUCUAUUUAUAAAUUUAGAUAAAUGGCCCUUGGAUGCAUAUAUGUUGUAUAUUAUGGGACACUGAAGAUCUCGAUAGCUUACUACUGUGGUGAACAGUCAUCAGAACAUAAUUAAAUUUGAUUUUUUUAAUUAAUGCAUUGCGUUCUUAUUCACUCGUAUUAUCAAAUGUAAAAAGAAAAUCUUUCAUAGGCAUAUGAUGUGUAGUAAAAUGUAAUGUUAGAAGUUGACACCAUAGCAAUAUUGAUAAUUCUGAAGUGAAUGUUUUGAGUAUUUAAUUUUUUGUCCCUGUGGGAUAUUUAUAAAAUAAACACAAUGGAACUCUUGCAGAAUAGCCUUAAGAAUGUUAAUGGUUCAGUAAAGAGAGAGUACCAGAAAGUUUCAGCAAACUUGUUAUGAACCUUAAGUAUAGUGCAUUUGCAAUACUGUGCAAGAACACAACUUUCUCUUUUUUAUUGGGUGUAUGUUUUGUUCUGUAGAAAGAUAUCCCUGAAGGCUUACAUUUUCUACUACUUGAUUGUCGUUGGGAUUAUAUUUAUUUAAUUUUAUUGUUUUGUUUUGUUUUUGUUACAAAGUGCACAUUGGGUCAGAGGGCCCAUUUCACAAUGGGCUACAGUUUCCAGACAGCUUCAAGUUUUUGUAUGAAUAAUAUUUACAUUUGAAACAGUUGGUGGGUAAACCCCACAUAUAAAUCAACUGAAAGACCUGUUGAAAAGUUACUUUCAGAAUCAAAAUAACAGUUCCUGCAGCUUUUCAGUAUUGCUUUGGAAUAGAGCAUAAAUUAUUCUGUUAAAAUAUCCACUUUGAUGAGGGUGUGAGACAUUCCGCAUUGCUUUUUUGUGUGAUUUUAAUAUUACACCUUAUGUGGUCUGUACCAUGCUAAGAAAGUAAAACUAAUAUCCCCCAAAUGUUAGCAAUUCAAUUUGGACUUUUAAAAUGUUGUCUGAUGUCCUGCUGUCUGUACAAUUACACAGAAGUCAGUGGGAUUGCACACUUGUAACUCAGACCAGAAUUUAGCCUGUCAAAUAUUUCUCUGUUUCAGAUCUUGUUUUCACAAGCCACUAUGCGACUAGUCCUAUCUCCUCCUCCUCACAUUUCACGCAGUCUGUCCAACAACCGUCUCCAGAAGUGAUCACAAAUUCAUGAUGGGAAAGCUAGAGAAAAGACUGUCUUGUGAAUAUUAACAUCAAUACCAUUUACUUGUGGAGAAAAUCUUCAAAAGAGAAAAGUAUUGAAAUUUGUCAGAACUAAAAAGGUAUUGAGGUACAGUGAUGCCCUUGUGUCCUCCUUGUGAUCAGUAUUGAAAGUAUUACCAUUGAUUUAAAAAUAAAAGGCUGUUUCCCUCAUUAAUCUGCUAUGCAAAUGUGUGUUAUGCUUAAUAUCCUCCAUCUGAUCUGUUCAGUUAACUUUUGCAGAUAGACUCUUUUUUUUUUCCUCCCUGGAUUGGGUUGUAUAUAGCCUAUAAUGUACAUUGAAUGAAUUUCACAUUGUAAAAUUUUUAUUUUAUUCCUUGUAUUAUAUUAAGCGAAAAACCCUAUGUAUAUGAAAGUGCAUAAUAAAUAUAUUUGCUUUUCAGCA